This 709-nucleotide ribosomal RNA is filed under the name uncultured Eubacteriales bacterium. RNAcentral's name for it is "bacterial SSU rRNA". It matches the Rfam family "Bacterial small subunit ribosomal RNA", at positions 59 to 768 of the family's 1533-position model. Lineage: Bacteria; Bacillati; Bacillota; Clostridia; Eubacteriales. The record is from RNAcentral.
AAGUCGAGCGAUGAAACUUUAACAGAACCCUUCGGGGCGAAGAUAAAGUGGAUUAGCGGCGGACGGGUGAGUAACACGUGAGUAACCUGCCUUAGACAUUGGGAUAGCCUCGGGAAACCGGGAUUAAUACCAAAUAAAAUCAUAAUGACACAUGUCAUAACGAUCAAAACUCCGGCGGUCUAAGAUGGACUCGCGUCCCAUUAGCUAGUUGGUAGAGUAAAAGCCUACCAAGGCGACGAUGGGUAGCCGGCCUGAGAGGGUGAACGGCCACAUUGGAACUGAGAAACGGUCCAAACUCCUACGGGAGGCAGCAGUGGGGAAUAUUGCACAAUGGAGGGAACUCUGAUGCAGCGACGCCGCGUGAACGAAGAAGGCUUUCGAGUCGUAAAGUUCUUUUAUAUGGGAAGAUAAUGACGGUACCAUAAGAAAAAGCCCCGGCUAACUACGUGCCAGCAGCCGCGGUAAUACGUAGGGGGCUAGCGUUGUCCGGAAUCACUGGGCGUAAAGGGUUCGCAGGCGGAAAUGCAAGUCAGAUGUAAAAGGCAGUAGCUUAACUACUGUAAGCAUUUGAAACUGCAUAUCUUGAGAAGAGUAGAGGUAAGUGGAAUUUUUAGUGUAGCGGUGAAAUGCGUAGAUAUUAAAAAGAAUACCGGUGGCGAAGGCGACUUACUGGGCUCAUUCUGACGCUGAGGAACGAAAGCGUGGGUAG